RNAcentral lists this ribosomal RNA (820 nucleotides) under uncultured Azoarcus sp. Its description in RNAcentral is "bacterial SSU rRNA". It matches the Rfam family "Bacterial small subunit ribosomal RNA", at positions 43 to 841 of the family's 1533-position model. The record is from RNAcentral. Lineage: Bacteria; Pseudomonadati; Pseudomonadota; Betaproteobacteria; Rhodocyclales; Zoogloeaceae.
CAUGCGGUACUACCAUGCAGUCGAACGUGAUCCGCCCUUCGGGGUGGUGAAAGUGGCGCACGGGUGAGUAACGCGUGGAUAAUCUGCCCGAGGAUUUGGGAUAACAUCUCGAAAGGGGUGCUAAUACCGAAUAAGCCCACGGGGUCUACGGAUCUUGCGGGAAAAGGGGGGGACCUUCGGGCCUCCUGUCCUUGGAUGAGUCUGCGUACCAUUAGCUAGUUGGUGGGGUAAUGGCCUACCAAGGCGACGAUGGUUAGCUGGUCUGAGAGGAUGAUCAGCCACACUGGAACUGAGACACGGUCCAGACUCCUACGGGAGGCAGCAGUGGGGAAUUUUGCGCAAUGGGGGAAACCCUGACGCAGCAACGCCGCGUGGGUGAUGAAGGCCUUCGGGUCGUAAAGCUCUGUCUGGAGGGAAGAAAUGAUUGGGAGCUAAUACCUCUUGAUCUUGACGGUACCUCUGAAGGAAGCACCGGCUAACUCCGUGCCAGCAGCCGCGGUAAUACGGAGGGUGCAAGCGUUGUUCGGAAUUAUUGGGCGUAAAGCGCGUGUAGGCGGUCUUUUAAGUCUGAUGUGAAAGCCCCGGGCUCAACCUGGGAAGUGCAUUGGAAACUGGGAGGCUUGAGUACGGGAGAGGAGAGUGGAAUUCCUAGUGUAGGAGUGAAAUCCGUAGAUAUUAGGAGGAACACCGGUGGCGAAGGCGGCUCUCUGGACCGAUACUGACGCUGAGACGCGAAAGCGUGGGUAGCAAACAGGAUUAGAUACCCUGGUAGUCCACGCCGUAACGAUGAGUACUAGGUGUUGCGGGUAUUGACCCCUGC